GAACAAGUGAGGAAGUUAGUCUCAUCCUGCUACUCAGCCAUUAGUCUGUCUUAGGUUGGCUUUCAGCUUCCUUAUUCCUCUGUUCCCUCCUGGGCAUACGUUCUGUUCAGGUUCAUCCUCUUCCCGCCAGGCCUGCCUGCAGGCAGCCCCUGAAGUUCUCUCUAGUGGGGUUUAGCAGCAAUUUGGGCUGCGCAUUAGAAUCGCUUGGAAGCUAAAAAUAAUAUACUGAUCCCUGGGCUCCACCCAGAAGUUGGGAUUCAUUGGAUGUGUGGUGGGGCCCAGGCAUCAUUUUUUAUUACGACAGCAUCUGCUGUCCUCGCUGCAGAGCAUGUGUGUACCAGAAUCGUUCCUGUGACAGACAUUGGAGCUGUUUCAGAUUUUCCGACUGUAGUACAGUCUAUAUCCAUCUUUUUGUGAGAUCUUGUCUGUCAAGAAAAAUCGUAAAUGACUUUGAAAUGGGUGGGAAAAGAUUCCUGGGUGUUUUGUCUGGCUCACCCAUCAGAGCUAUUUCUGCCUCUCAUUGUCUUUGAGCUAUUUUACAACUCUAAUUGUGGAAAGCUGAUAAUAACGUACCUGAUUCUUAUCCAUUGAAAUGCCAAUUUUCUGUGCCUGUGGAAUGUAGCUGAUUAUCUUGGGACACCAGAGAUUGUCCAAUCUCUCCCCAGGUGGUUAUCAGGUGGAGUCAGGAGAUCUCGGGCUUAGAAGAUUGUAGGUGAUUUCUAAACACAGUCUCUAGUCCUUCUGGACUCAGUGGGAACUGAAGGCUUAUUUAUUUAGCUGUAUGCUUAGACAGCCCAUUGGAAAUAAUAAUAAUAAGAGCUAACAAUUACUGAACACUUAUGUAAUAUACCAGAUACUUUUUUGAGAAUUUUUGAUAUUAUAAUGUGGGUGCCAUUUCAGAAACAACCUGAUGUAAUAGGAACUCUUAAUAUUCCCCCCAUGCAGAUGGGGAAGUUGAGGCCAGAGAAGUUGCUGGGGGUUAUGUUGCUCGUGCCACCCUAUGGAGGUAGGUGCCCUGGGGUCUCAUCUGGUCCCAGAUGCUUCCUUCACUAAGUCACUUAGCUGCUCUGAGCCUGCUGCUGAGUGAUAAGGCAUUAGGUGUGAGCAUGGCCAUCUGAGAUGGGCUCAAUGAAGGUCAUGCUCCAGGCUGUCACCCUGUGUCCUUUGCAUAUUGGUUUGUAUACUUGUCAUCUGCUUGAUCAGAGUGAGUCACAUGUCAGCCUUUUCAUGAGUGCGCUUAGGGGAAGAAGAUGAGGCAGUUCUACCACAGUGGGGCUUUCUUAGGGAUGUUCAAGUUCCCACAACCCUGGUUGUGAGAUAUGUGAUUAAAAAUUAAGGGACAGGUAUACAUACACUGUUCCAGGGCCUUCCGUCUUUUCUACCAGCCAGUGCUCAGAACAGCCCUGGGAAGAAGAUAAUUAUUAUCCCCAUCUGACAGAUGAGAAAACCAAGGCUCAUUCAUUCAUCCUUGUGUUUCUUCUCUCAUUUACCUCAAUCGGGCCAGAUAUGAUCUAGGCUCCAAGACACAGUGGCAAGUUAGGAAGUUGCACUGAGUCCUUACUGGAGUUCACUGUCCUCCACGAGGGGUGAAGUGAGAAGUCAGGGGAGAUGCCAAAGGCCACACAGCCAGGAAGUGCCAGGGCUGGGCCUGUGUGGCCUCCUGAGCCAUUUUGCAUUUGAAUGUACAGGGCGGUUCCAAGACCAGGAAGUCCCCCACCUCCAGUCAGACAGUUUCCAGGUGUCCUUAGCCCAAGGAGGCCUCUCACCCGUCCCCAGAGAGACCCAGGCUCCCCAGGAACUAAUUUCUUAAGGGAACUUUAUGGCUCUUAACUCCCUAAGCGGAUCCAGAUGUGCCUUGUGGCUGGCACUGCUGCAGAUGUCCUGGCCAAAGCCAGCUUGGUUUGGAAGCCCAGCCCUGGCAGCCGCUAAGUCUGGAAAUGAAGUAAAUGAGCGAGUUGUUCUUGGCCAUUUUCCCCUCAUCUCAACCCAACUUAAAUCAAACUCGGGCUCUGACCUCAGGCAUCGCACAUUCCAGUGUUCCCCCAGCCUCCUGGGGUUCCAGGACAUAAGGCAGGAGAUGACUGAGUUGGGGGCCCCUGAGCAGACAAGAGAAGUGUUCUGGAGGGAGAAUGGGACAUGAGGCUGGGGCAGCUGAAGCAGCUGCAUUCCUCCAUGCACCAGGCCUUGCAGAAACAGAAGGGGCUCCUGCUGGGCUGAGGCUGGCCUCCAACCUGUGGGGGGUCCAGGCCUGCUGGGAACAAGGAGGUAAUACUUGCUAAGCAGCUGGGUGGAGGAAGGGGUUGGCGGACACUGAUUUGGGGCACCUCUAUCCCCUCAGCAUCUCAGCCCAAACCCAACUUCCUGAGCGCUGGUGGGCAUCUCCGAGGAGGGCCUUUUCCCCUGGGUGGUUAAUGAGAGCUGCACCUGGAUUCCUGAGGUCCCGGGGAGGCCGGCUCAAACCUGGGUGGUCAGGGGUGAGCAUGGCACUGACUCCUCCACCCCUAAGGUCCAGACCAAACCACACAGUCCUCGAGGGUGAAUCACUUUGAAGUGUGGGGUUCUGGGGCCUGUGGCAGGCCAAGGGAGCCGACUUGGCGGGAAUGGGCAGGCAGACAGGCUUGUCCAUACACUUAGCUUCCGGGCAGUUCCUCCUCUCGGAGGCCAAGGAAGCAGAGGUCAAGGGCCUGGGUUUGAAGGUCAGAGAGAGGCUGAGUUCAAAUGGCACUUCCUAGCCAUGUGAUCUUGGGCAAGUCAGUGUUCUCUGGGCCUCAGCUUGCUUCAUCUGCAAACCGGGGGCAUUCUUCCACUUCUUCGGAGGGUCCACGUGAGGACCAAAGGAGGAAAUCUAUGAAAUGAUUAGCUUGGUGACUGGAUCCGAAGAUUGAAUGGUACCAAACAGUAGUUUUGGGAGGGCUUAGCCCUAGCAUCACUGUAUGGCCACCCCACCUGCAUUGACACACUUAGUAAAUAAAAAAUGGGCUGUUCUGCCAAGAGUUGUUAGACAAUCUGCCUGUAUUCCUUGUUUCAUUGAGUUGCUGCCCCAGCCCUUCUGUACAAAUCUGGAGGGGCCUUUAGUCUGCCCUGUGUAUUAUAACUGUCUUUGGUACUAUGACCUUUAUACAAAAAAAUGUGAGAGCUGUA
Pipistrellus kuhlii (Kuhl's pipistrelle) is the source of this 3141-nucleotide long non-coding RNA. RefSeq lists it as uncharacterized. The transcript is spliced from 4 exons. Lineage: Eukaryota; Metazoa; Chordata; Mammalia; Chiroptera; Vespertilionidae. The record is from RefSeq and is a predicted model, not a curated record.